GUCUCGUAGUGACCUGCGGAGGGAUCAUUACAGAGACUCUGCCCCUUGGGUAGACCUCCCACCCUGUGUCGUUAUACCUUCGUUGCUUUGGCGGGCCGCGGGGCCCCGGCCCCGCCCCUGGCUCCGGCUAGGGCGCGCCCGCCAGAGGACCUCAAAACCUGAAUGUUAGUGUCGUCUGAGUACUAUAUAAUAGUUAAAACUUUCAACAACGGAUCUCUUGGUUCUGGCAUCGAUGAAGAACGCAGCGAAAUGCGAUAAGUAAUGUGAAUUGCAGAAUUCAGUGAAUCAUCGAAUCUUUGAACGCACAUUGCGCCCCUUGGUAUUCCGGGGGGCAUGCCUGUUCGAGCGUCAUUACAACCCUCAAGCUCUGCUUGGUCUUGGGCGUCACCGGUCCCGGUGUGCCUUAAAAUCAGUGGCGGCGCCAUCUGGCUCUAAGCGUAGUACAUACUCUCGCUACAGACGUCCGGUGGAUGCUGGCCAGCAACCCCCAACUUAUCAAGGUUGACCUCGGAUCAGGUAGGGAUACCCGCUGAACUUAAGCAUAUCAAA
This 549-nucleotide ribosomal RNA is filed under the name Pezicula ericae. Its description in RNAcentral is "eukaryotic LSU rRNA". The stretch from base 198 to 351 matches the Rfam family "5.8S ribosomal RNA". Lineage: Eukaryota; Fungi; Ascomycota; Leotiomycetes; Helotiales; Dermateaceae. The record is from RNAcentral.